This 305-nucleotide long non-coding RNA is filed under the name Mytilus galloprovincialis (Mediterranean mussel). Lineage: Eukaryota; Metazoa; Mollusca; Bivalvia; Mytilida; Mytilidae. The record is from RNAcentral.
AUUCCGUAGUUUACCAACAAUAGCUGGUGGGAUUAUUUUUUAAUCUAAAAUUAAGGUACCAACAUGACAAUCUUUUUUCUUUUUUUAAAUCUCAAACAUUUUCCAAACAUUAGCUACAGAUUUGAGCGCGGUAAUAUUAAUUCCGCAAAAACGGAUCGGAAUCAGUUAUGACGUAGACAGUAAUCUUUCUAAUCGUAAUCAUGUUCAUUGCCCAAAACAACGAUGAAAGCACAUCAUAUAAUGACGUUUCGACAUCAUAAAAUGAAGUUAACCAAAGAAUAAGAUUACAAGCACAUAAUAUAAUG